RNAcentral lists this ribosomal RNA (440 nucleotides) under uncultured bacterium. Its description in RNAcentral is "partial 16S ribosomal RNA". It matches the Rfam family "Bacterial small subunit ribosomal RNA", at positions 339 to 795 of the family's 1533-position model. The record is from RNAcentral.
CUGCGGGUGGCUGCAGUGGGGAAUAUUGCACAAUGGGCGAAAGCCUGAUGCAGCAACGCCGCGUGAGUGAAGAAGGCCUUCGGGUCGUAAAACUCUUUUCUUGGGGAAGAAAUGAUGACGGUACCCAAGGAAUAAGCCCCGGCUAAUUACGUGCCAGCAGCCGCGGUAAUACGUAAGGGGCAAGCGUUAUCCGGAAUCACUGGGCGUAAAGGGUGCGUAGGUGGUCCUGUAAGUCAGAAGUGAAAGGCUACGGCUUAACCGUAGUAAGCUUUUGAAACUGUGGGACUUGAGUGCAGGAGAGGAAAGUGGAAUUCCUAGUGUAGCGGUGAAAUGCGUAGAUAUUAGGAGGAACACCAGUGGCGAAGGCGACUUUCUGGACUGUAACUGACACUGAGGCACGAAAGCGUGGGGAGCAAACAGGAUUAGAUACCCUGGUAGUC